CGAACGCUGGCGGCGUGCUUAACACAUGCAAGUCGAACGCGAAAGGGACUUCGGUCCUGAGUAAAGUGGCGCACGGGUGAGUAACGCGUAGAUAACCUGUCUUCAUGUCUGGAAUAAUACGCCGAAAGGGGUACUAAUACCGGAUAUUCUUGCUUUUCAUAAGUUAUGCAAGCAAAGGUGGCCUCUGCAUAUGCUACUGCAUGAAGAGGGGUCUGCGUACCAUUAGCUAGUAGGUGAGGUAAUGGCCUACCUAGGCGACGAUGGUUAGCGGGUCUGAGAGGAUGAUCCGCCACACUGGCACUGGAACACGGGCCAGACUCCUACGGGAGGCAGCAGUGAGGAAUAUUGCGCAAUGGGGGAAACCCUGACGCAGCGACGCCGCGUGAGUGAGGAAGGCCUUCGGGUCGUAAAGCUCUGUCAAGAGGAAAGAAGUGUACAAUGGCUAAUACCUGUUGUAUUUGACGGUACCUCUAAAGGAAGCACCGGCUAACUCCGUGCCAGCCGCCGC
This 508-nucleotide ribosomal RNA is filed under the name uncultured bacterium. RNAcentral's name for it is "bacterial SSU rRNA". It matches the Rfam family "Bacterial small subunit ribosomal RNA", at positions 30 to 518 of the family's 1533-position model. The record is from RNAcentral.